CUGAAAAUAAUCCUGUCUGUUUGUUGGUAGCUGUUUUGUUCCAGACCUUAUCCCUAUCUCAAAGACUUUAGGGAGGGGAUGUAUAACUUGGGUUAAGAUUUGACCGUGAACAAUAGAAAAACAUCAUUUGCUUAGAAGGAACAGAUGUUCAUUUCUCUUGCACUCUAGGAUUGGUGUGGCAGAACUGUUUCACAGAGUGCUCAAGGCGAAAGGAAGGAAGGAAGGAAGGAAGGAAGGAAGGAGGAAGGAAGGAAGAAAGAAAGAAGAAAAAAAGAAAAAAGAGCUGUAAUUGGCCUACAUUUUCAAGGUGACCUCAUAAUCCAAGAUGAUGUGCUCCAACUCCAACUAUCAUAUCUGCAUUUAAACCACCCAGAGGGUGAAGGGACAAAGAAAUAAGGCUAAAAAAAAAAAUAGGCACCAGCUAUCCUUUAAGGACUCUCUACUUAUGUUCCCCUGGCAUUUCCUCUGUCCUUGCUAUUUUUGAAUGCACUUUUAACAUCCAAGAGUAAAUCUCUGUUAUCUCUCUAAAUACUUU
RNAcentral lists this long non-coding RNA (535 nucleotides) under Marmota monax (woodchuck). The record is from RNAcentral. Lineage: Eukaryota; Metazoa; Chordata; Mammalia; Rodentia; Sciuridae.